GAGUUUGAUCAUGGCUCAGGAUGAACGCUAGCGGCGGGCUUAAUACAUGCAAGUCGAGGGGUAGCAAUACACCGGCGUACGGGUGCGUAACGCGUAUGCAACCUACCUUUAUCUGGGGGAUAGCCCGGGGAAACCCGGAUUAAUACCGCAUAAGAAAAUAGAAUGGCAUCAUUCAGUUUUUAAAGAUUUAUUGGAUAAAGAUGGGCAUGCGUAGGAUUAGAUAGUUGGCGGGGUAAUGGCUCACCAAGUCUACGAUCCUUAGGGGCUCUGAGAGGAGAAUCCCCCACACUGGCACUGAGAUACGGGCCAGACUCCUACGGGAGGCAGCAGUAGGGAAUAUUGGGCAAUGGAUGCAAGUCUGACCCAGCCAUGCCGCGUGCCGGACGAAGGCCCUCAGGGUUGUAAACGGCUUUUAUUCGGGAAGAAGAGCAGGGAUGCGUCCUUGUGUGACGGUACCGAAUGAAUAAGCACCGGCUAACUCCGUGCCAGCAGCCGCGGUA
RNAcentral lists this ribosomal RNA (500 nucleotides) under uncultured Bacteroidota bacterium. RNAcentral's name for it is "bacterial SSU rRNA". It matches the Rfam family "Bacterial small subunit ribosomal RNA", at positions 9 to 522 of the family's 1533-position model. Lineage: Bacteria; Pseudomonadati; Bacteroidota. The record is from RNAcentral.